UCAAGAAACUUCCACAAUGGGCGAAAGCCUGAUGGAGCGACGUCGCGUGAUGGACGAAGUGCUUCGGCACGUAAACAUCUUUUUAUGUGGGAUGAAAUUAUUGACAGUACCACAUGAAUAAGGGGCUCCUAACUCUGUGCCAGCAGGAGCGGUAAUACAGAGGCCCCAAGCGUUAUCCGGAAUCACUGGGCGUAAAGGGUGUCGAGGCGGUUGUAUUAGUCGUUCGUAAAAUCUACGAGCUUAACUUGUAGGCGGCGAACGAAACGGGACGACUUGAGGUUUGGAGAGGUGCGUGGAACUCACGGUGUAGGGGUGAAAUCCGUUGAUAUCGUGGGGAACACCAAAGGCGAAGGCAGCGCACUGGCCAAAAUCUGACGCUCACACACGAAAGCUAGGGUAGCGAAGAGGAUUAGAUACCCUGGUAGUCCCUGAGCGGGCUGGCAAGGCGCAU
This 451-nucleotide ribosomal RNA is filed under the name uncultured bacterium. Its description in RNAcentral is "bacterial SSU rRNA". It matches the Rfam family "Bacterial small subunit ribosomal RNA", at positions 355 to 825 of the family's 1533-position model. The record is from RNAcentral.